This 85-nucleotide transfer RNA is filed under the name Felis catus (domestic cat). It matches the Rfam family "tRNA". Rfam says of the family: Transfer RNA (tRNA) molecules are approximately 80 nucleotides in length. The record is from Rfam by way of RNAcentral. Lineage: Eukaryota; Metazoa; Chordata; Mammalia; Carnivora; Felidae.
GCCUGGGUGGCUCAGUCGGUUGAGCAUCCAACUUCGACUUGGGUUAUGAUCUCACGGUUUGUGGGUUCGAGCCCCACGUCGGGCU